UACGGGGGGGGCAAGCGUUGUUCGGAAUUACUGGGCGUAAAGGGCUCGUAGGCGGCCAACUAAGUCAUACGUGAAAUCCCUCGGCUUAACCGGGGAACUGCGUCUGAUACUGGAUGGCUUGAGUUCGGGAGAGGGAUGUGGAAUUCCAGGUGUAGCGGUGAAAUGCGUAGAUAUCUGGAGGAACACCGGUGGCGAAGGCGACAUCCUGGACCGGUAUUGACGCUGAGGCGCGAAAGCCAGGGGAGCAAACGGG
Molecule: ribosomal RNA, 253 nt
Filed under: uncultured bacterium
Lineage: Bacteria
Description: partial 16S ribosomal RNA
Rfam family: Bacterial small subunit ribosomal RNA
Source: RNAcentral